GGACGAACGCUGGCGGCGUGCUUAACACAUGCAAGUCGAGCGGUAAGGCCCUUUCGGGGGUUACACGAACGGCGAACGGGUGAGUAACACGUGGGUGACCUGCCUUUAGCUCUGGGAUAAGCCUGGGAAAACUGGGUCUAAAUACCGGAUACGACUCCGCGGUGCAUGCUGUGGGUGAAAGCCUUGUGCGGCUGGAGAUGGGCCCGCGGCCUA
Molecule: ribosomal RNA, 213 nt
Filed under: uncultured bacterium
Lineage: Bacteria
Description: partial 16S ribosomal RNA
Rfam family: Bacterial small subunit ribosomal RNA
Source: RNAcentral